This 700-nucleotide ribosomal RNA is filed under the name uncultured Bacteroidales bacterium. RNAcentral's name for it is "bacterial SSU rRNA". It matches the Rfam family "Bacterial small subunit ribosomal RNA", at positions 64 to 751 of the family's 1533-position model. Lineage: Bacteria; Pseudomonadati; Bacteroidota; Bacteroidia; Bacteroidales. The record is from RNAcentral.
GAGGGGAAACGGCAUUUAGUGCUUGCACUGAAUGGACGUCGACCGGCGCACGGGUGAGUAACGCGUAUCCAACCUUCCCAUAACUAAGGGAUAACCUGCCGAAAGGCAGACUAAUACCUUAUGUAAUUCUUAGAUGACAUCAGAAGAGAAUGAAAGAUUUAUCGGUUAUGGAUGGGGAUGCGUCUGAUUAGCUUGUUGGCGGGGUAACAGCCCACCAAGGCGACGAUCAGUAGGGGUUCUGAGAGGAAGGUCCCCCACAUUGGAACUGAGACACGGUCCAAACUCCUACGGGAGGCAGCAGUGAGGAAUAUUGGUCAAUGGGCGAGAGCCUGAACCAGCCAAGUAGCGUGCAGGACGACGGCCCUAUGGGUUGUAAACUGCUUUUGUAUGGGGAUAAAGUCAAUCACGUGUGAUUGUUUGCAGGUACCAUACGAAUAAGGACCGGCUAAUUCCGUGCCAGCAGCCGCGGUAAUACGGAAGGUUCGGGCGUUAUCCGGAUUUAUUGGGUUUAAAGGGAGCGUAGGCCGGAGAUUAAGUGUGUUGUGAAAUGUAGACGCUCAACGUCUGACUUGCAGCGCAUACUGGUUUCCUUGAGUACGCACAACGUUGGCGGAAUUCGUCGUGUAGCGGUGAAAUGCUUAGAUAUGACGAAGAACUCCGAUUGCGAAGGCAGCUGACGGGAGCGCCACUGACGCUUAAG